Non-coding RNA from Vanrija pseudolonga, 72 nucleotides. The record is from the annotation of a RefSeq genome assembly. Lineage: Eukaryota; Fungi; Basidiomycota; Tremellomycetes; Trichosporonales; Trichosporonaceae.
AUAGAUAUCGUAUAGCGGUUAUUACUUCCGAUUUCCACUCGGAUUACACCGGUUCGAAUCCGGUUAUCUAUA